UACAGAGGGGGCAAGCGUUGUUCGGAAUUACUGGGCGUAAAGGGCGCGUAGGCGGCCUUCUACGUCGGACGUGAAAUCCCCGGGCUCAACCCGGGAACUGCGUCCGAUACUGGAAGGCUUGAAUCCGGGAGAGGGAUGUGGAAUUCCAGGUGUAGCGGUGAAAUGCGUAGAUAUCAGGAGGAACACCUGCGGUGUAGACGGCUUACUGGACCAUAACUGACGCUGAGGCACGAAAGCGUGGGUAGCAAACAGG
Molecule: ribosomal RNA, 253 nt
Filed under: uncultured bacterium
Lineage: Bacteria
Description: partial 16S ribosomal RNA
Rfam family: Bacterial small subunit ribosomal RNA
Source: RNAcentral